GCCGGGUAUAGUGGUGCAUACCUGUAAUCCCAGCUACUAAGGAGGCUGGGGCAGAAGAAUCGCUUGAACCCGGGAGAUGGAGGUUGCAGUGAGGCGAGAUCGUGCCACUGCACUCUAGCCCGGGCGACAGAGUGAGACUCUGUCUCAA
Macaca fascicularis (crab-eating macaque) is the source of this 148-nucleotide unclassified non-coding RNA. It matches the Rfam family "Metazoan signal recognition particle RNA". Rfam says of the family: The signal recognition particle (SRP) is a universally conserved ribonucleoprotein. NCBI's taxonomy places the organism in Eukaryota, Metazoa, Chordata, Mammalia, Primates, Cercopithecidae. The record is from Ensembl.